CAUGCAAGUCGUACGAGAGUUUUUAACUCAAGUGGCGGACGGGUGAGUAACACGUAAGAAUUUGCCUUUAGGAGGGGGACAACAACUAGAAAUGGUUGCUAAUACCCCAUAUGCUUUCGAGUGAAACGGAUUUUUCCGCCUAGAGAGAAGCUUGCGGCUGAUUAGCUUGUUGGUGAGGUAAUGGCUUACCAAGGCGACGAUCAGUAUCUGGUUUGAGAGGACGAUCAGACACACUGGAACUGAGACACGGUCCAGACUCCUACGGGAGGCAGCAGUGGGGAAUUUUCCGCAAUGGGCGAAAGCCUGACGGAGCAAUACCGCGUGAGGGAUGACGGCCUAUGGGUUGUAAACCUCUUUUUUCAGGGAGGAAUCAAAUGACGUGUACCUGAAGAAUAAGCAUCGGCUAACUCCGUGCCAGCAGCCGCGGUAAGACGGAGGAUGCAAGUGUUAUCCGGAAUCACUGGGCGUAAAGCGUCUGUAGGUGGUCCAAUAAGUCAACUGUUAAAUCUUGGGGCUCAACCUCAAAAUCGCAGUCGAAACUAUUAGACUAGAGUAUAGUAGGGGUAAAGGGAAUUUCCAGUGGAGCGGUGAAAUGCGUAG
This 600-nucleotide ribosomal RNA is filed under the name uncultured cyanobacterium. RNAcentral's name for it is "bacterial SSU rRNA". It matches the Rfam family "Bacterial small subunit ribosomal RNA", at positions 54 to 693 of the family's 1533-position model. The record is from RNAcentral. Lineage: Bacteria; Bacillati; Cyanobacteriota.